Pseudomonas syringae pv. tomato str. DC3000 is the source of this 54-nucleotide non-coding RNA. Lineage: Bacteria; Pseudomonadati; Pseudomonadota; Gammaproteobacteria; Pseudomonadales; Pseudomonadaceae. The record is from Rfam.
CUACUCUGCGCCCGUCGCUGCAUAUUCAGCGAUGAGGAUUAGUAGCCCUCGUUA